UGGGGAAUAUUGGACAAUGGGCGCAAGCCUGAUCCAGCCAUGCCGCGUGAGUGAUGAAGGCCCUAGGGUUGUAAAGCUCUUUCACCGGUGAAGAUAAUGACGGUAACCGGAGAAGAAGCCCCGGCUAACUUCGUGCCAGCAGCCGCGGUAAUACGAAGGGGGCUAGCGUUGUUCGGAUUUACUGGGCGUAAAGCGCACGUAGGCGGACUUUUAAGUCAGGGGUGAAAUCCCGGGGCUCAACCCCGGAACUGCCUUUGAUACUGGAAGUCUUGAGUAUGGUAGAGGUGAGUGGUAUUCCGAGUGUAGAGGUGAAAUUCGUAGAUAUUCGGAGGAACACCAGUGGCGAAGGCGGCUCACUGGACCAUUACUGACGCUGAGGUGCGAAAGCGUGGGGAGCAAACAGG
Molecule: ribosomal RNA, 404 nt
Filed under: Actinomycetes bacterium
Lineage: Bacteria; Bacillati; Actinomycetota; Actinomycetes
Also listed under: 1 other name
Description: Actinobacteria bacterium partial 16S ribosomal RNA
Rfam family: Bacterial small subunit ribosomal RNA
Source: RNAcentral